CAUGUGGGGUAAGCGUUGUUCGGAAUUACUGGGCAUAAAGGGCGCGUAGGUGGUUUGUUAAGUCAGGGGUGAAAUCCCGCGGCCCAAUCGUGGAACUGCCUUUGAUACUGGCGAACUUGAGUGCGUGAGGGGUAGGGGGAACGAGCAGUGUAGCGGUGAAAUGCGUAGAUAUUGCUCGGAAGGUUAGAGCCGAAGGGGCUUUACUGGUGCGCAACUGACACUGAGGCACGAAAGCGUGGGGAGCAAACAGGAUUAGAUAUCCCGGUAGUCCACGCCGUAAACUAUGAGCAUUAGAUGGAUGCCGAGCUAUCGGUGUCUGUCGGAGGCAAUUUGGUAAGUGCUCCGCCUGGGGAGUAUGGUCGCAAGGCUG
Molecule: ribosomal RNA, 370 nt
Filed under: uncultured organism
Description: bacterial SSU rRNA
Rfam family: Bacterial small subunit ribosomal RNA
Source: RNAcentral